RNAcentral lists this ribosomal RNA (253 nucleotides) under uncultured bacterium. RNAcentral's name for it is "partial 16S ribosomal RNA". It matches the Rfam family "Bacterial small subunit ribosomal RNA", at positions 524 to 776 of the family's 1533-position model. The record is from RNAcentral.
GACAGAGGGUGCAAACGUUGUUCGGAUUUACUGGGCGUAAAGCGCGUGUAGGCGGCUUUGCAAGUCGGAUGUGAAAGCCCACGGCUCAACCGUGGAAGUGCAUCCGAAACUGCAUGGCUGGAGUCUCGGAGAGGAAGGUGAAAUGCUUGGUGUAGAGGUGAAAUUCGUAGAUAUCAAGCAGAACACCUGCGGCGAAGGCGGCCUUCUGGACGAUGACUGACGCUGAGACGCGAAAGCGUGGGGAGCAAACAGG